Molecule: long non-coding RNA, 1962 nt
Organism: Triticum dicoccoides
Lineage: Eukaryota; Viridiplantae; Streptophyta; Magnoliopsida; Poales; Poaceae
Exons: 7
Source: RefSeq, a predicted model, not a curated record
CCUAUCUUUUGGAGUAUUCAACCUGUGAUCCAAGCAGAUUUGUAAAGGAAAAAAAAUACGGCAACAAACAGACCACAGGCGCUCGUCUCCUCUACCUCUCGCCCACGAACUCCUCGCCGCCGCCGCCACCUGCGCCGGCCGCUUCCGGCGACCUCCGACGCCGUGCAGCACGCUCCCGAGCUCCUCACGGUCCGAGCCUCCCUCCCCUCCGACCAGAUUCUCCGCUCCCAUCCUCUACCGCCCGCUUGCAACCCCACCCACGUGGCUAGGGUUCCGGGCAGGGCUUCGCCGGCUCGUCUCCGGCGGCCCCAGUUAUUUGGCUCAUCGUCGUAUUGCAAGUUUUUGACAUCGUUGUACACUGUUGACGUCGCCGGAAAUCCGUCUGCACGUACUCCACUGUCCGCCGGAACUUUGUCCGACCUGAGUUCUCAUUGGUUCAGACCAAUGCUAUAUGGUUCCACUCUACCCUGGCUAGGCCCACGAGAGCCAGCAAGCCGGCGGCAGCAGGGAUGGCCGGAUAGAGCCACAUGGACUCAAUGACUCAGAGGAGGAUCGGAGGGGGUGGCCUGUACGUGGAGGAUGAUUCACACACGAGCUGGCACGCCCAACAAAUGCAUUAGUUUGGCUCUUGCACUAGAGAAUGACAGAUGGUGUAUACUGACAGAGGGGGAAGAAUUCUGCAGCAUACUGUGCAAGAUCUUUAUUUACACCAAGGAGGAGGUCCAGAAGAUGAAUUCGAAAUCAUCCUGUGCCCAAGAAAGGAGGAAGUUCCAUGGAUGGUGAUUGUGCAAACAAGAAGGCACAUCUCACACAUCAUGCAAUUUAGAUAACUAACUAACUAGGUUGCUGUUCCCGUUCAGCAGCGGUUGCACCUUCUACAACAGUGAGCCCGAGCGGCAUCAGAUUCAGAUUGUCCCAUGAAGGUUUCGAGAUGGAGGCCUGUGAGGAGGAUUUCAGGGGAGAUCAUACUAUGACUAUGACAAGAGGCUGAGAUUUGACUUGCACUGUAUUGAAAAGCAGGUUCAGGAGCUCCAAGCCAAUAAACGCCAGAGCUUUGAAAAAGAUGAUGCGUUAAUAUUUUAUCAUCAUGUGACCUAUUAAUUUUGAACCGUCCGGCCACACAUUUAUUCCAAAUCGCAUAUAUGGCAUCCGAGAAGGAAGAAUCUGAGCGGGAAGUACUACACGACGAUUCUUGAGAGGAACAAGUCGACGAGGACACCAAUGAUGAUAACUCUAUCGUCGUUCUGCACCCAGACAACAUGGAUAAGAUGCAACUCUUUCUUGGCUGUGAAUCGGUCGAUGGUUGACAAGAACACCAAUGGCGACACUCAUUGUGGCUUUACACUCGGACACCAUGGACAUGUUGUAGCUCUUCCGUGGCGAGGGAUGCACUGCCUAUUCUAUUCUCCAUCACGUCCAAUAGAAAGCAAGGGAGGGGUAGUUUGAUCCUUAACGGUUUCAUGUUUUCUCUCCAGUUGAAACGCACAUGCUUUGAUGGUGGCGCUCUCUCGAGGAAGGUAGCUAAAGUUUUUGGCAAGAGUCUGUCCCAUCUUUUAUUGUAUAUCAAUGUACCAUUGGUUGAGCAAACAGCAAAGCAAGGCAGAAGAUGAUGAACAUGAAAAUGUGGGUAAAAGGAAGUCCAAUAUUCUUUCUGCUACAAGUACAGAAAGGAAUGGGAUAGAACCGUAAAUUCUGGCAUGAAGUAGGAUGAGUAUGCUAUUGUCGUGUAGUGCAAGCCUGGGUGGUUGGGAGAUGAUGCACACAGACAUGUGGAGACGAUGCGAUCCACCAAGGCGAAAGCUCAUCAAACGGAUAGGGUUAGCUUCAAAGACGAAGAAGUCCGAUGUUUUUCCUCUGCCGGACAUCCUUAAUGCCGUCCAUGCGGUUUAGACCUUACAAAGUGUAAUUUUUUUCUCCCGUUGCAACGCACGGGCUUUUUUGCUAGUUAAUUUUAAUUUUUAA